Molecule: long non-coding RNA, 913 nt
Organism: Hypomesus transpacificus
Lineage: Eukaryota; Metazoa; Chordata; Actinopteri; Osmeriformes; Osmeridae
Exons: 2
Source: RefSeq, a predicted model, not a curated record
GUAUCCACAGAGCCAAAGGACAGGAAAAGUAAAUAAUCGUCACAUGAUUUGCGAGAUGCACAAUUGGCUUAGUUCAAAUAUUGACGUGAAUGUAACAGAUAAAAGUCAGGAUUCAAUGCAGACUACAGUAGUGUAGACUUGUGGAGAUACAGGACAUCAUGAGGCUCCAAUGGAUGCUCCUGCUAGGAGUCUGCGCGGUGGUGAGGGCAGCAAACCCACCUGCUCUUUACCACCGUUUUGUCCAGAUCCACAUACAAACGAGAAUGGCAAUCCAGGACUGUUCUCGUGUCAUGCGAAGACUGCAGCUGAAUGAGCCUGGAACUCAGAACUGCAAAUAUACAAACACGUUCAUCGUUACUAACCCUAUCCUCCAACAAGUCGAGGCCGUCUGUAAUAAUGCUGGAACACGUGACUUUACAUCUGGCAAUAUAUUCACUAGCAAUCAACGAUUCUCUCUUGUCACUUGUAGGCUCUCUAGUGGCACUCAACACCCCAAUUGUGAAUACGAUGGUACUGCAUCAACAAGGAGAAUAAGAGUUUCUUGUGACCCUGAUUGGCAGAACCGUCGUAUACUCUGGCCAACACACUAUGCAGGUGAUGUUGUUUAGCAUAUUUUUGUCAGCUACAAUACUUUAAUCAGGUCUACUAUUUUUUUUCCAAUAAGGUGGGAAUAUGCCGCUACACAAUUUGCCAUCAAAUGUUAUAGAAACUCGCCAGUUCAAUUUAAAAGGAUUGUGUUACAUAUGAUCCCUUUGUUAUUAGUGGCUUCCUUUUACAGUAAUACAAUGCCUGAUUUCUUGAUUUGCUCUCAGUUGUGACAAAUACAUCUGAAAAGCAGCGUGAUUUUAAUUGCAACUAAAUUGUGAAAAUGUAUUAAAUAAAUGGUACAGUGUGGGCAGACUGUUAAGAAGUA